CAUGAGUGCUGGGAAACAAAUUUGG
RNAcentral lists this non-coding RNA (25 nucleotides) under Rattus norvegicus (Norway rat). Lineage: Eukaryota; Metazoa; Chordata; Mammalia; Rodentia; Muridae. The record is from RNAcentral.